Long non-coding RNA from Gopherus flavomarginatus (Mexican gopher tortoise), 278 nucleotides. RefSeq lists it as uncharacterized. Lineage: Eukaryota; Metazoa; Chordata; Testudines; Testudinidae. The record is from RefSeq and is a predicted model, not a curated record. The transcript has 2 exons.
AUCAACAAACAGGAAACUAAAAAAGAGGAACGUAGUGUAAGUUCUAACAGUUGAUAUCCGUGAGAAGAGGCUCUGCUCAAUAGCUGGAUACACAGACAAUGAAAUCCUCGACAGGGCAGGUCCCAGAAGGAAGCCUUUCGGAUGAUGAUUUCUGCCUCUUGUACUCUUCCCUGAGAGAUCAGCCACCGGGGAGAUUCUGGAACAACCCUGCAACAAGUUUCAGAAUAUCAUCAUCUGCAUUUCCACACUGACCACUGCUGCAAAAACACACAUACACA